UAAAGUUGUUGCAGUUAAAAAGCUCGUAGUUGAAUUUCGGGAUCAAUAUAUCGGUCGUGCUUCGGUAUGUACUGGUAUUAUUGAUUUCUCCCUUCUGACGAACUAUGAUGUCAUUAAUUUGGUGUUAUGGGGAAUCAGGACUGUUACUUUGAAAAAAUUAGAGUGUUUAAAGCAGGCACACGCUUGAAUACAUUAGCAUGGAAGAAUGAAAUAGGACGUUUGAUCUUAUUUUGUUGGUUUCUAGGAUCGACGUAAUGAUUAAUAGGG
This 267-nucleotide ribosomal RNA is filed under the name uncultured Glomus. RNAcentral's name for it is "partial small subunit ribosomal RNA". It matches the Rfam family "Eukaryotic small subunit ribosomal RNA", at positions 605 to 877 of the family's 1831-position model. Lineage: Eukaryota; Fungi; Glomeromycota; Glomeromycetes; Glomerales; Glomeraceae. The record is from RNAcentral.